AUGCAUACAAUUGCGUUUAAAGCUUUUGAAAAUCUAGAAGAUAUUGUCGCUCGACCAUCUUCUUCCAAGUCCAUGCUUACAGAGUACUUUGAGAUGAACCAAAAAUUUCCAGCGGCACGGAAAUGGUUGUAUAGAGAGUUUCCAGAACAUUAUAGAUGGGUAGCUGGGAAAAAGAUGUCACAGAAUAGAAGAAAUAAGAGAGCACAGAUUGGAAGACUUGUGUAUGCACACCCUGCUGAAGGAGAGAGGUACUGCUUGUGUGUGCUCCUAAGUCAUGUCCGGGGUGCCACUUCAUUUGAUGAUUUGAAAACAGUAAAUGGCAAGCCAUGCAUUUCCUUCAGGGAGGCAUGUGAGCACUUAGGCCACAUUGAGCAUGAUAGGAGUCUUGAUGAUUGCAUGAUGGAGGCUGCCACAUUUCAGAUGCCUUGUGUCUUAAGACGGUUAUUUGCAACUAUACUGGUAUUCUGCGAGGCAACAGAAAUCCGACAGAUGUGGGAGAAACAUCUGGCAGCAAUGUCCGAGGACUACGGUCGUAAUCAAUCCAAUGAGGCAAUACUUGAGCAGAUGGUCCUCAGAGAUAUCAGGGAUAUGUUGCAAUCCAUGGGAAAGGAUAUUACAACCUAUGGACUUCCGGAAUUGGUUGAGACUGAUGGUUCUUAUGACGGUGAGUACAGAGAGGUAACAGAGGAGAGGCAAAUCAGCAUGGACAAAGAGCAUCUAGAUUUAUUUACCAGUUUGAACACUGAGCAGCUGGCUGGUUCCAAUGACAUAAUGGAUCAUGUGGUGAACCAAAAAAUCCAGGUAUUCUUUGUUGAUGGUCCAGGCGGCACUGGGAAGACAUACUUGUACAAGGCAUUGCUUGCAAAGUGGGAUGAAGUCGCUAUGACAAAACCUCAAGCAGUUGAGACGCUUGAUAGAUCACUAUAG
This 927-nucleotide ribosomal RNA is filed under the name Triticum aestivum (bread wheat). RNAcentral's name for it is "partial small subunit ribosomal RNA". The record is from RNAcentral. Lineage: Eukaryota; Viridiplantae; Streptophyta; Magnoliopsida; Poales; Poaceae.